Molecule: long non-coding RNA, 1059 nt
Organism: Chelonus insularis
Lineage: Eukaryota; Metazoa; Arthropoda; Insecta; Hymenoptera; Braconidae
Exons: 3
Source: RefSeq, a predicted model, not a curated record
UUUACUUGAUUGGUCAUUGGAGUACACAAAAAAUUGACUAAUUGAAUUUUAGAAUAAUAAAUACUUUUGUCAAUGAAGUACAAAGUAAAAAUUUGUUGAUAUUACAUGCGCAGUGUAAACAACUCUGUUACAACAAUAUAGCAGGAGAAUAAGGGUAUAGAGGAGGUUAUAGGGCGGGAAACUCUAAGAAUCAGAGACACAUAUUACAGAUGGAGGAGAUUAAAUGAUUUUUAGAUUAACUAUUCCGAGAAAAUUGUAUCAAUAAUAUUUUAUCAAUAUUUCUAUUAAAAAUUCAAUAAAUACUUCGCAUGGGAUAUUGAUUAUUGAAGAGUUUAUGUCAUCUAUAUUUUGAAUUCUAUAAGGUGAGAAGUAUGUUUAUUUUUAUGGUUGUGUCAUGACUCCGAAAAAAGAAAUAACCUUAGUUUCAGAUAAUUGAUGAGGAUCAGUCGGUAUUGAAAUAUUUCCGUGUAAAGUUUGGAAAUGAAAUACAGGCAGUGGAUUUAAUUGGAAUUUUCGUCAAUGAAAUCAAAACAAACCAAGCUGUUGAUAAACAUCCUUCUAUAUGUGAUACAACUUGUGUAAUUCUAGUCAAUGUAUAUAAUUAAUUAGAUUUAACUACAUAUUUAUGUAUACAUAAAUAUAAUACUUUUUGACGAUUGAUGUAGCCCUGUUCAAGAUGCGUGGGUGGUUUCUCUUUUAUUUGAUGUGAACGCACUGCUAUGUACUAUUAAUAUGUACACCAUGAUGAAUAAUAUCUACAUUUUUUGGACUUAUUGUGUACAUAAUGAGCUGGAACAAAGAAUUCAAGUCUUGGUCUAAUUAUUUAAAAGACAAAACUAAGAUACUCUUGGACUCUUCUGUAAUCCUGUUGAAAAUGCGUGGGCGCGGUCUUCACGAAGGCUGGCCAAGAUCAUGAGGUUGCACCCUUUCUGACCAAAUGUGGCUUAUGUGGUACAAUCAAAUUUAAACCCUUAUUGUGUUGAAUUAAUUGUUGUAUAACAUUUAUUAGCAACUUUAUUCAUGAAUUGAACAUCAGUGUCAUUGAUUCAAGGAUUUAUA